RNAcentral lists this ribosomal RNA (585 nucleotides) under uncultured fungus. RNAcentral describes it as "partial large subunit ribosomal RNA". It matches the Rfam family "Eukaryotic large subunit ribosomal RNA", at positions 44 to 650 of the family's 3401-position model. Lineage: Eukaryota; Fungi. The record is from RNAcentral.
CAAUAAGCGGAGGAAAAGAAACCAACAGGGAUUGCCCCAGUAACGGCGAGUGAAGCGGCAACAGCUCAAAUUUGAAAUCUGGCUCCUUCGGGGUCCGAGUUGUAAUUUGCAGAGGAUGCUUCGGCGUUGGGCCCGUGCUAGGUUCCUUGGAACAGGACGUCAUAGAGGGUGAGAACCCCGUCUUUGCUCGGGACACCUCCGCCAUGUGAAGCUCCUUCGACGAGUCGAGUUGUUUGGGAAUGCAGCUCUAAGCGGGAGGUAAAUUUCUUCUAAAGCUAAAUAACGGCCAGAGACCGAUAGCGCACAAGUAGAGUGAUCGAAAGAUGAAAAGCACUUUGGAAAGAGAGUUAAAAAGUACGUGAAAUUGUUGAAAGGGAAGCUCUUGCUGCCAGACUUGACCCGGUUGCUCAGCCGUCCUUUUGGGCGGCGUACUCUUCCGUGGACAGGCCAGCAUCAGUUCGGGCGGCCGGACAAAGUCCCUAGGAAUGUAGCCUCUCGGGGUGUUAUAGCCUAGGGUGCCAUGCGGUCUGCCUGGACUGAGGACAGCGUUUUCGAGGAUGCUGGCGUAAUGGCAGCAAGCGACCC